UAUUUUCGUUCGCGAUGCCGUUCCGGGUUUUUCGGCUAUCUUUUGACCAAAAAUGCGUGACGUCACGUGUUUCUGCGCUUCUCUUUCCUGCGAAGGAAUCAGAUGGCGACGAGAGCGGGCCGUGUGUGGAAGGUUUCUGCCGAAUGCGCUGGUGCCAAGCGUCUUUGGAAUGUCGCCGCUGCUGCUGCUGCUUCUGAGAAGGCGGCUGUAUAAGCGGGGGUAGGUCUGUCCCAAGUCGCCGUCUGUUUCGAGUAGUCAGCUCGGCCGGCCCAGGUCGAUUCGUCCAAUUUCAAAAUGGCCCAAAACUACAAGAGAAAGCGCGAAGACGGCAGUAGCAUCGAGAAAGAGGUCCCUCUGCGUUACAUUUUGGGAUAAUUUUUUCGUCAUUAUGAAUUCAUAUCCAGGGACAA
Dermacentor albipictus is the source of this 410-nucleotide long non-coding RNA. RefSeq lists it as uncharacterized. NCBI's taxonomy places the organism in Eukaryota, Metazoa, Arthropoda, Arachnida, Ixodida, Ixodidae. The record is from RefSeq and is a predicted model, not a curated record.